This 253-nucleotide ribosomal RNA is filed under the name uncultured bacterium. Its description in RNAcentral is "partial 16S ribosomal RNA". It matches the Rfam family "Bacterial small subunit ribosomal RNA", at positions 524 to 776 of the family's 1533-position model. The record is from RNAcentral.
UACGGAGGGUGCGAGCGUUGUCCGGAAUCAUUGGGCGUAAAGGGCGCGUAGGUUGCCCGGUCAGCGUGCGGUGAAAGCUCGGGGCUCAACCCCGAGUCGGCCGUGCGAACUGCUGGGCUUGAGCACUGUAGAGGCAGGCGGAAUUCCGGGUGUAGCGGUGGAAUGCGUAGAGAUCCGGAAGAACACCAGUGGCGAAGGCGGCUCACUGGACCGGUAUUGACGCUGAGGUGCGAAAGCGUGGGGAGCAAACAGG